This 465-nucleotide ribosomal RNA is filed under the name uncultured bacterium. RNAcentral's name for it is "bacterial SSU rRNA". It matches the Rfam family "Bacterial small subunit ribosomal RNA", at positions 330 to 793 of the family's 1533-position model. The record is from RNAcentral.
GCCAGACUCCUACGGGAGGCAGCAGUGAGGAAUAUUGGUCAAUGGGCGAGAGCCUGAACCAGCCAAGUCGCGUGAGGGAAGACGGUCCUAUGGAUUGUAAACCUCUUUUGCCGGGGAGCAAAAAGCGGUACGUGUACCGCAUCGAGAGUACCCGGAGAAAAAGCAUCGGCUAACUCCGUGCCAGCAGCCGCGGUAAUACGGAGGAUGCGAGCGUUAUCCGGAUUUAUUGGGUUUAAAGGGUGCGUAGGCGGGCUUUUAAGUCAGCGGUAAAAAUUCGGGGCUCAACCCCGUCGUGCCGUUGAAACUGGCGCGCUUGAGUUCAGGCGAGGUAGGCGGAAUUCGUGGUGUAGCGGUGAAAUGCAUAGAUAUCACGAAGAACUCCGAUUGCGAAGGCAGCUUACCAGUCUGCGACUGACGCUCAGGCACGAAAGUGUGGGUAUCGAACAGGAUUAGAUACCCUUGUAA